CUCUAAAAUGCCAUGAUAACUUCCUUGAGACUUGCUGCCGAAGUUAACCAAGAAGAGGAGUGACUUCCACACGGAAAAGACUUCUUUAAAGCACUAGGGCUCUGGCUGUACCCCGAAUGAGCUGCUGAGGACGGAGCUGGCUAUCUUGGACAAACUGCACUGGGACCUCUGUAUUGCGACGCCACUGGACUUCUUGACCACAAAUGGAAACAUUGUCAUCUAAGUACUUGAAACUCAUAAUGACCAUGUAACGAAGCAGAUUGUCUUUUCUCCCCAAGGGUGAAGCUGAGCUUGGUCACAAAAUGAGCAUUAAGCCUCAAGUCCCUUGGGGGGCCCUGGAUGGGAAUGAAAAGUGUGGG
RNAcentral lists this long non-coding RNA (359 nucleotides) under Neogale vison (American mink). Its description in RNAcentral is "Neovison vison (American mink) lncRNA (ENSNVIG00000017471.1)". Lineage: Eukaryota; Metazoa; Chordata; Mammalia; Carnivora; Mustelidae. The record is from RNAcentral.